This 3996-nucleotide long non-coding RNA is filed under the name Olea europaea (common olive). RNAcentral describes it as "long non-coding RNA (OEUR_LNC006063)". Lineage: Eukaryota; Viridiplantae; Streptophyta; Magnoliopsida; Lamiales; Oleaceae. The record is from RNAcentral.
ACGAAUUAUCAAAAUAUCAAUCACAAAUUAACAAUUUUUUAUGUCACAUUAUUUCUUGAUUACAAUUUAUCUUUUUCACUGGUUACAGUUAACAAAAUAAUUUGUGACCACCACCAACACUUGUGACCACUAGCUCACCACUGCCUCCAGAACCAUCACCACCGUUGUCGCUAGAACUAUCACCACCAUUUCCAAACCACCCCAAAACCAUCGUCUAUUGUCCUGUCUACCGUCGGCCAUAUCGAGUCACUGCCACACUGUCGACUACUAUAAUUUCACCAUCACCUCUCCAAAUCAACAAACAAACCACUAAUAGCCUCCAGCAAAAUCAAACCAAACUACAACACACCGUCCGCUUCACUCUACUGCCAUAUUUUUCGAUCUCUUAACUAUCACUGCCAGUCGCCACCUCCGCCCCACAUCAACCCAUGGAAACCACCGUCAUCGACACCUCCUCAACAACAACCACAACCACCUCACACGCCACUACGCUGAUUUUCAACCUAAAUCUUCCUAUUAACAAAAUAUGUAAAUUUUCAGAAAACAUUCAUUUCAACAACACGAAGAUUAAAGCUAGGUCAAGCAAUGUCGUCAGGUGUCGAUCACAAUUGUACUGCACCGUUCAUAGUGGCGAUGAUAGUCCAAUGAGGCAACGUUGUCGGGUGGAGAUUGCCGAUAGGGCAAAAGAUGCGGUUUUUGAUGAUGCAUGGAGCGAAAGAGGUAUAGUAACACAACGCUAGAUGGAGAUCAGAGUUGUAUCAUGCUUCUCGCAGGGGAGGUGACGGUCCCCUGCACACGGCAGUGCCUCAUCGAUCUGACAAUAGAAGGGUAGGAAGGAGGAGAGAAGAUGAAAAUUAGGUUUAAAAUUGCGUGGGGUAAGGGGGUGGUUUAUAAAUAUAUUUAAUUUUAAAGAAUCAUAAUAUUAAAAAGAAUAAAAUUAUUAAAUAACUAAUUAUAAUCUGAAAUUUGAAAUAUGAAACUUAAGAUAUGAUUUGUGAAAAGUAGAUUUUAAAAACAAGUCUAUGUGUAAUUUUCACUACCCCCCCCAAAAAAAAAAAAAAAACAAUAUAGCGUUCAAACAAGCGCAUAGUGUGUCGAGUUUAGAAGUCAAAUGGAUCACAUAAGAGCAUGUUUGAUACUCAUUUUUUCUCAAAAUAUAUUUUGAAAUAGUAUUUUGAUGAAAAAUGUAUGGUUAAAAAAUAAAAAAAUAAAAAUUUGUAUUUGCUUGUGGUAUUAUUUUAUUGUAGAAUAUGUUGUUGAAAAUAAAAGAGAAAAAUGUAUUUUAGAAAUAAUGGUGACCAAACAAGAGCUAACUAUUUGGAGAAUAUUGAUCUCCUAUUUGAGUUCCAAUUUAAUUUAGUGCUUGUUUGGUGGGGAUUCUGAUAAUUGAUUUUUUGAUCGUUAGAGAAAAGUUAGUUAUAUUUGUGAGAGAAGAAUUCAAAAAUGAAGGUUGAAAUAGUGAAAUAACGCUCAAAAAUUGAUUUUAAUUGGCUUAAAAUCCGUACUAAUGUAUUUUUUAUUUUUUUCAUUUUCAACUAUAUAUUUUCCAAUAAAAUAAUACUACACGUAAACUCAAAACGUUUUCUUAUUCUUUUAACCACACAUUCUCCAAAAAAUUAGUAUUCUAAAAUACAUUGUUUUUCCAAUAUCUCAUUAAAAUGAAGCCCAAACAAGGACUAAGUCUAUGUUUAGUGGUGUCGAAUCCAAUGGACAGUUGACACUACAUCUCCUAUGUUUGAUAAUGUUUUCACCGAUCUUAAUGACAUUCUAAAUCCUGUCGAUUUAGGGAGAGAAAGGUGUGCAUGGGAGUACUGAUCCAAUUAAUUUGGAUAAGAUUGAUGUAGAAGAAGAAUCGCAUGUAAUGAGUGCUACCGAUCAAUGAAGAAGACGACGAACUAUCAAGUGUUAUGAAGACUACAAAAUGGCCACGGGUCAAGUUAGUGGAGCCAGGAUCAAAAGUAGUAUGCAGGUACUACAAAGUAAGACUGAUAUAGCAAAAGGGUAUGGGAACUACCUAUUAUUAGAAAUGUUUGGCAAAACAUGGAGCUAUGAAUCAUGUACAGGCUCAACUCCAAUUUGGUUUAUUGGUAAAAGAUUCUACUUAACACAUGGGUCUAUUCAAAUAAGAAAUGUUGCGAGAAAAUGGUCAAGUUCGUAGUAAGUGUUGAGCAAUCGCAUGGAAAGCAAACAGUUCACCAAAUUCAUGAGAGCAUUUUCAAUGGUGGUGUAUAAUUGAGUGUAAAUUGAUAUUUCCAAAACUACUUUUGCAUCUUCGUUUACUUCCCGAUGGAAUUAAAAUCAAAAUUUGAUCAAAUGAAAAUAUCUAAAUCUACUUUCAGAUGUAAAAAAAAUUUAAAGUUGCACCUUUUUUUCUUUUAACAAUUUUCUAUGAAAAAAGAAUUUACAUUUUCUUUGCAUCUAUCCAUUAGAUCCAUUUUACACCACGAUUAGAAAAUACUCUUAAGAGAAUAUUUUCAACUAAGGUACUCUCUAGUUAAUAGAAACAUUCUUCAUUUCGAUUGAAUUGAAAAAAAGAAAAAAAAGUCGCUAAUACAUGAUUUACGCAAAUAUAGUGGUGUUAUAUCUUUUUACGUCUGACUUGUGGAAGGGUACUAGUAAAAAAAUGAUACAUAACUGUAAUUACUCACUAUAUAGAUCAAAUAUGGGUGAUGCAUAAAAGAAUUAGAUUAAUACUAUUUAUUGCCACUUGUGUUAAGGACCAAUUUUUGUGGCAAUUACAUGACAUUAAAUGAUAAAUGCAACUAAAUGAUAAAUCCACUUAAAUAUAAAGUCACAUGACUCGUUUAAUUGAACAUAUAAAGCGUAGCCAUCUAAAUUGACUGCUAGUGAUAUAUAGUAUUAUUCAGAUAAUUAUUGUUUUUAAAUUAAUUCAAUAUCCUCAGAAGAUAAUAAUAUAUUCAAUGGUAUAGUAGGUAUUAUUAAAUAAUUUUGUUAUGAGAAUAAAUUAAGUAUUUUUACUUCUGCAAUACAUCUAUUAAUAAAUCGAUACUUUCUAAAUUAUGUCGAAAUUUUAAUUCUAUUUUGAUUGUUCUCAUUUUCAUGUUCAUUGUAAUUGUCAUAUAUUUAAUUUAAUUAUGUGAGAUUAGUUAAAAUAUAUUAGCGUUCAGAUCAACAAAAUUAGGAACAUAUUUUAUUACAUAUCACCUAAUAGAAAACAAGUCGUUGAAAAUUUUUGUACUAUAAUAUUGUCAUAUAGAAUUUUUUAAGUGAAAUGUAUGAAUUAUAUGUCCAUUGAUUAGAUAUGGAUGUUAGAUGAUUGCCCGUACGCACCUUAAUGCUAAGAUAUUGUUGUCAACAUCUAAACAUACAUUAUCAUUAUUAACAACGAUUAGUACUAAUACAAUAAAUACAAUUCCUCUUCAUGUCUUCUUCUUCCUACCACCAAAGUACAUCGAUGCCGUGCAGAUGGAAUAUAGAUAAAUUAGUUAAAUAUUUUAUUCGUGAAAUGCUUACAAUGGUAGACUCAACUGAUACAUUGGAAGUAAACUUACUUAAAUUUUGGAGAAAUAAUGAACGUCAAUAUCCAAUGGUUUUCAUCAUUGCCCGUGAUGUACUCACACAUUUUUGUCCACAACAACAAGAUAACAAAUGGCUUUUGGCCAAGUGAUGGUUUCGAAGAUAGGUUUGGACUCUGUGAGAAUGAUGAAAAAAUAAUUUAUUUAUUUUUUAUAUUUAUUACGGGGUCAUACCAUAUUCAACAAUAUAAUUUUCCUUAUCACUCAUGUUGUAAUUAUUUCUAUGAUUUCCAUUCCUAAAUUAGCCUCGGUUUCUCUUUCCCGUGUACUGUAUAAGUCUUGUGAACAUUUAUUCAAAGUUAGUGAAAAUUAUUUCAUUCACAUAUCAAUUGUAACAUGGUAUCAGAGCUUUAGGCAUACCUAUACGGCUGCACCAUGGAUGAUUCAGCUGCUGCUUAUGUGCCGGAUAUCACUAAGUCGCUUACAGAUGCGUCAUCCCCUUACUUUCUACACUCAUUUG